Molecule: RNA transcript, 5268 nt
Organism: Malaclemys terrapin pileata
Lineage: Eukaryota; Metazoa; Chordata; Testudines; Emydidae
Gene: NME8
Gene name: NME/NM23 family member 8
Exons: 18
Source: RefSeq, a predicted model, not a curated record
CUGCGCACCCGUGGAAUUUAUCAGCGUCGCGCAUGCGCGUUGCUCUCCGAGAGCCGCACCCAUCCUUGAUGAUCGAGGGCGGGUGGAGAAGUGGGCGGAGCAGUGACGAGGGAGCGGGACCAACGGUUUUGGAACGCUCUCGCUCUCUCUGGUUGGGCCUGUCGGGCGCAGGCUGGGGGGGCCGUUAUCCGCCGCUAGCCGCGUGCUGCUGCUGCUGCCGUCGCCGUAACAGCCCUCUGCAGGCUGGGGUGUGCGCGUAGCGUGUGCCAGAGCGCUCAGGGUGUGUGCACGAGUGUGAGCCCUGUGUGUGCACGGGGUGUCGGUGCCGCCCGUGUGUGCAAUGGUGUGUGUUCGUGUUGGGCGUGUAUGUCAGUGGCAUGAGUGACUGUCGCUCGUCUGUGUGCAGGUGUGUGUCGGUGUUGGGUGUGUGUGUCUGUUGCAUGUAUGUGUGCAGGUGUGUGCCAGUGUCAUGCGUGUGUGCAAGCAUGCACCAGUGUCGCAAAUGUGUGUCUGUUGCAUGUGUGUGCAGGGGUCAGUUUCAUGUUUCUGUCUGUGUACUGGUGUGUGUCAGUGUCACGUGUGUGCAGAUGUGUGUCAGAGGACUAGGUGUGUGCAAAGGGUGUCUUGUGCACACACAGGUAAAGCUACCCUAUUGGGGACUAUAAGGAGGAAUGUUUCGGACCCCCCCCCCUACCCAUCAGCCACCCUCUACAACACUAAUUGCAUUAUUUCCACAAACCAAAAAAUAUCCCAACAAUGUUAACACACUGUUAAAGAAACCAUGUUAGAUAAGAUGAGUGGUAUUUGGGGCUGGGGGCAAUAUUAAACUGGGACCACCUGGAGCUUCUUGGGGCCCUAAGUCUGCUUAUGUGUGGUUUGUGUGCAGGUAUGUGUUAAAAGUUGUGCGUGUCAGAGUCCCCUGUGUGUAUGCAUGUGGGUGGAUGUGUAUGGGUAUGUGGUGAUUUGUCCGUUAGCGCAUGCAUGUGUAUGCAUUAUUAUGUGUCAGUGUGGUCUGCAUGUGAAUUUGUCAAUAUGCAUGAGAUAUUGAGCAUAUGUGUGUGCUGAUAUGCUGUCUGUGUGUGUUGGUGAGAAGAUGUGUACAGCAAUGUACCUAGGACAAUGAUUGAAUUUCAGGGUAUUGUGGGUCUCCAGGCUGGGCGUGCCUCAGUCAGAGGGGGCAUUUGUUUGUCACACUGUAUGUUUUGUCAGGAUGUGUUAGUGUGGGAACCUGUUGUGCCAGUUUGUGACUUAGCAUUUUGUGCAUCUGCAUGUGUGAAGGAAAUUGUGUAUUCAUAUGUCAUCUCAGCAUUGUGUAUCUGUGCAUAAUGUGCCAGUCAAUGUGUAUGUAUUUGUGUGUGGUAGCAUAUUGUGUGUGUGCAUUGCAAUCUGGGAAUAUGUGUCAGCACGUUGGGGACUAUGUGCAUGUCAGUUGGGAAGUAUAUGCAUGCCUGGUGCUAUGUUGUAUGUGUUAUGGGGCUAUUAAUGAUUGUGUUGUAAGAGUGUAAUUCUCCUGAUCUCUCCGUAACAGUGGCUAACAAGCAGGAAAAGACCAAAUCUGCUGAAUACCAGUUACUAAUAUUGGAAAAUGGCAGGAAAGAAGAAAGAAGUUCAACUACAGGUAGUAAUAACCAAUCAAAGUCAAUGGGAUGAAAUGUUGCUGACUAAAGGUGUAACAGUAAUAGAUGUUUAUCAGGCUUGGUGUGGGCCUUGCAAAGCGGUGGUAAAUUUAUUCAGAAAACUAAAAAAUGAGCAUGGUGAAGAUGACCUUUUGCAUUUUGCUGUGGCAGAGGCUGACAGCAUUGUGACCCUGCAGACAUUUAGAGACAAAUGUGAACCUGUUUUUCUCUUUUGUGUUGAUGGCAAAAUUAUAGCAAUGGUGCGAGGCACAAAUGCACCACUUCUCAGUAAGACAGUAAUAAAGCUAUUAGAAGAAGAGAGGAAAAUUUUAGCAGGGGAAAUAGAACGCCCUGAGGUACAAGAGCUUGUGUUUUUAGAAGAGAAAACAGCAGAAGUAUAUAGUGAAGAAAGCCAACUUGAAGAAGGAGUCAUAUACACUGUUGCAAUUAUAAAACCUGAUGCCAUUGCAGAUGGAAGAGUAGAAGAAAUUAAACAAAAGAUUACAGAAGCUGGCUUUGGCAUUGCGGCAGAAGAGGAGAAGACAUUAACUGAAGAGCAAGUUAGAGAUUUCUACAGUCGUAAUAUAGAACAGCCUGAUUUUGAAGAUUUUGUUACAUUCAUGACUGGUGGACCAUCCCAUAUUCUGAUAGUUUCUAAACCAAAGGAAGUAACUGAUACUGUUCCUCAAUGGAAAGAACUAGGUAGAUCAGAUGAGUGUAUACCUGCAAAGCCUCAGCCUGAAAAGCCAAACAGCUUGCAAGAAGUUUUGGAAUCUGAGAAUAUGUUAAAUUUAUGUGAUGUGGAAGACAGUGUAGAAGAUGCUAGCAGGCAACUUGCCUUCUUUUUCCCAGAUUUUGGUAAAAAGAAGACCAGCCAAAAUGCUGAAAAAACAUUGGCCUUAAUUAGACCUUCUCUAUUAAAGGAAAGACGAAAUUCUAUUCUGAAAAGGAUUAAGGAUGAUGGCUUUACAAUAGCAAUGCAGAGAGAAAUAGUUCUGACAGAAGAACAAGCACGUCAGUUUUACAAGGAACAUGAAAAUGAAGAUUUUUUCCCAACCCUUCUAGAACACAUGACAAGUGGUCCAACCCUUGCACUUGCUUUAAUACGAGAAAAUGCUGUACAACACUGGAGAGAUUUACUAGGCCCAAAGACUCUUGAAGAGGCUAAGGAGAAAAGUCCAGCCAGUUUACGUUCAGAGUAUGCAGUAGACAGUGUAUCUCUCAAUCAGCUGCAUGGCAGUGCUUCACCUGGUGAAGCUGAGAAGGAACUAGAAUUCUUCUUUCCUGUGGAACACACUUUGGCAGUUAUCAAACCCACUGCUGUUAAGGAACAUAAAGAUGACAUUAUGCAGAAGGUUACAAAUGCUGGCUUUAUUGUAUCACAGAUGAAAGAAACAAAUUUCACCCAUGAAAUGGCAACACAGUUUUAUAAGGCUCAUGAAGGAAAACCCUUUUUUGACCAGUUAGUGAAUUAUAUGUCUGAGGGUCCAUCAGUGAUAAUGAUCCUAACUAAAGAAAAUGCUGUGGAGGACUGGAGGCAAUUAAUGGGUCCAACAGAUCCAGACGUGGCAAAAACAUCUUCUCCUGAUUCUCUUAGAGCUCAAUUUGCACAAGAUAUUUUGCAUAAUGCAGUUCAUGGCUCAUCUAAUAAGGAACAUGCACUGAAGAGCAUUGAAUAUGUAUUUGGAGAGAUUGAUCUGAACAGUCUAAGCCACAACUGAGAUCUAUCAAUAACAGUUAAAAUAUUAAGCCCAUUACUUCUUGUCCUACUGUAAUGGGGGUCACUCACUUCUUGAACACCUGCUAGUGACUGGCUGUGGUACUGCAGUUCUUUUCUUGUCCCAAGUGCCCACGGCAGGCUGCCUGUAAACCUUGGUCCUGCAGGAGGGUGCUCACUUCCCACCUCUCAUCUCUGGCCCUCUGGAACGCAACAUCAGGCUUCUGCCCUGUGAGCCUCCCUGGCCAAGCUCGCACAUGUCACCUGAGCUGGCUGAAUGACAUCCAGUUGGUAGGCCUCCACACCAUGCCCUGAAAACAUCUGUACAUGCUCAUGCUUCAUACAAUCCAUUUCUUCAUGGUUUUGUCCCAUCCCAACACCAAGUGGUGGGACUUGUUGCAACCUGCAGAGGCUGAGGCACCCUGGUGGGCCAAUAUGUAUUCUAUUCUGAUUCCACAGCCUGCUGGGGUUAUUAGUUGAUAGCUCCUCCUUGGAGUCAUGAGCAAGGGCAUGUAGUUGGUGUGGUUCAUGAACUCUCUGAAAACUGUCCCUUUUGCAACAAGAGGGAGACCCUAGUGCACAUCUACAGAAUGUGCAUCAGGCUGCAGCCCCUCUUCUGGCUCCUCCAGAAAUUUUUACUGAGGUUCUGGCUGCAAUUUUCCCCAACCUCCUAAUUCUUACUCUCCCCAUGUAUGGCCCCACAAAGUUCUGGGACCUCCUUAUCCACCUUCUCCUGGUACUGGCCAAGAUGGCCAUCCCUCACUCCAGGAGGAGGAAGCUGGACGGGUAGGGGAGGUACUCUGCAACUAUCGGGCCUAUUUCCGUUCCCUUGUUCAAUCACAUUUCCGGGCAGAGUUCCUCUGGACAGUGUCCACUGAGUCCUUAAGACACCAUUGAGGAAUGGUGGGAGCAGUCUGGGUUUCUCUUCUCAGCAUCCCCUUCUGGUUUCCUGGUUUUCAACCUUUGACCUCAUUCCUGUUCCUGUUUUUUCCUUUGUUGUCCCUAGUACUUAACUGCAGCCUGGGCUUAGUGGUUGAGGGGGGAGACCUUUACUCUUGGGUGGGCCUAGACCUGCCUGUCUCAGUUCUGCAAAUAGUAUGCAUGGCUCAAUUUCAGUUUGUUACUGUUUCUUCCCUGAGUCUCUUCCUACCUGGCUCCUUUUAACUUCACCCCUAGAUAAGGGUUAAGACUCUUAGAUCCUCUGUCCCUGACAACCCAUCUUAAGCAAAUGGAGACAGAAAAAUAAACUCUGGCUACCCCUCAAGCCCCUGUGGCCAGAGAGGACCACCCUUCCUUGCCCUUUGUCCCAGCCAGGAAUUGACCUGCUAAGGCCCUGCAGCUUCUUUUAUCUGAUUCUGCUUGGCUCUGAUGGGUUGGUUCCAUGAGAUCUCUGUAGGCAGGCCAGAAGGACACACUUUCACUGCUCCUUUCCUGUUACUUCACUGUUUCCUGGGGCAGGAUAUAGUAGGAUUAUGGGACCUCCUGUAGGGAGAUGCUGAGGAUAGGUACAUCCCUCAUAACUGCCUUCAGUGGAUAUGGACAACAGCUGAUCACAGUCAGCUUGUAACUUUCUGAAAUGUACCCAUUUGAGUCUGAAAAUUUCAAUUUGAUAUUUACCAAAGGUGAUUUCUUUCACUGAAUGCAUGUUUUGUGUCCAUUGAUAGAGCAGUUAUACUGCGAUUGUGAUCUGUCAUUUGAGCUUGAUGAAUAACAUAAACAAUGUUUCCAGUGUAGUUUAGUGUAAGUCUCCUUUUUGUGAGCCUCAUUUGAUCUCUAUGAGAAAAGGCCAUUAAGUCUAGUGUCUAAUAUCUUUAGUCAGAUCUUGCAUUCAACAACAAUAUAAGAAAAAUAAAAUAAAACAAUUGUCUCCAUUAGAAGAUUUUAUUAAGAAGUUUAGUAGUAUAGGACAUCUUGCAAAUAAAUGUAUGAAAAUUC